This 157-nucleotide ribosomal RNA is filed under the name uncultured Sediminicola sp. RNAcentral describes it as "partial 16S ribosomal RNA". It matches the Rfam family "Bacterial small subunit ribosomal RNA", at positions 1228 to 1382 of the family's 1533-position model. Lineage: Bacteria; Pseudomonadati; Bacteroidota; Flavobacteriia; Flavobacteriales; Flavobacteriaceae. The record is from RNAcentral.
CAAUGGCCGGUACAGAGGGCAGCGACCUGGUGACAGGUAGCGAAUACUCCAACAACCGGUCUCAGUUCGGAUCGGAGUCUGCAACUCGACUCCGUGAAGCUGGAUUCGCUAGUAAUCGGAUAUCAGCAAUGAUCCGGUGAAUACGUUCCCGGGCCUU